AGUUGUAAUUUGUAGAGGAUGCUUCGGGUUCGGCGCCGGUCUAAGUUCCUUGGAACAGGACGUCAUAGAGGGUGAGAAUCCCGUAUGUGACCGGCCGCCACGCCCGUGUGAAGCUCCUUCGAUGAGUCGAGUUGUUUGGGAAUGCAGCUCAAAAUGGGUGGUAAAUUUCAUCUAAAGCUAAAUAUUGGCCAGAGACCGAUAGCGCACAAGUAGAGUGAUCGAAAGAUGAAAAGCACUUUGGAAAGAGAGUCAAACAGUACGUGAAAUUGUUGAAAGGGAAGCGCUUGCAACCAGACUUGCCCGCGGGUGAUCAACCGGUAUUCUUACCGGUGCACUCGCCCGUGGUCAGGCCAGCAUCGGUUUGGGCGGCUGGAUAAAGUCCCCCGGAAUGUAGCUCCUCUCGGGGAGUGUUAUAGCCGGAGGUGCCAUGCAACCCGCCUGGACCGAGGACCGCGCUUCGGCUAGGAUGCUGGCGUAAUGGUCGUAAGCGACCCGUCUUGAAACACGGACCAAGGAGUCUAACAUCUAUGCGAGUGUUUGGGUGUCAAACCCAUGCGCGUAAUGAAAGUGAACGGAGGUGGGAACCCUUAAGGGUGCACCAUCGACCGAUCCUGAUGUCUUCGGAUGGAUUUGAGUAAGAGCAUAGCUGUUGGGACCCGAAAGAUGGUGAACUAUGCCUGAAUAGGGUGAAGCCAGAGGAAACUCUGGUGGAGGCUCGCAGCGGUUCUGACGUGCAAAUCGAUCGU
RNAcentral lists this ribosomal RNA (746 nucleotides) under Acarospora sp. RNAcentral describes it as "partial large subunit ribosomal RNA". It matches the Rfam family "Eukaryotic large subunit ribosomal RNA", at positions 141 to 905 of the family's 3401-position model. Lineage: Eukaryota; Fungi; Ascomycota; Lecanoromycetes; Acarosporales; Acarosporaceae. The record is from RNAcentral.